GGUUAAGUUAGAAAGGGCGCACGGUGAAUGCCUUGGCACUAGGAGCCGAUGAAGGACGGGACUAACACCGAUAUGCUUCGGGGAGCUGUAAGUGAGCUUUGAUCCGGAGAUUUCCGAAUGGGGAAACCCACUGUUCGUAAUGGAACAGUAUCUUUAUCUGAAUACAUAGGAUAUUGAAGGCAGACCCGGGGAACUGAAACAUCUAAGUACCCGGAGGAAGAGAAAGCAAAUGCGAUUUCCUGAGUAGCGGCGAGCGAAACGGAAUUAGCCCAAACCAAGAGGCUUGCCUCUUGGGGUUGUAGGACACUCUAUACGGAGUUACAAAGGAACGAAGUAAAUGAAGCGACCUGGAAAGGUCCGUCGAAGAAGGUAACAACCCUGUAGUUGAAACUUCGUUCCCUCUUGAGUGGAUCCUGAGUACGGCGGAACACGUGAAAUUCCGUCGGAAGCUGGGAGGACCAUCUCCCAAGGCUAAAUACUACCUAGUGACCGAUAGUGAACCAGUACCGUGAGGGAAAGGUGAAAAGCACCCCGGAAGGGGAGUGAAAGAGAUCCUGAAACCGUGUGCCUACAAGUAGUCAGAGCCCGUUAACGGGUGAUGGCGUGCCUUUUGUAGAAUGAACCGGCGAGUUACGAUCCCAUGCAAGGUUAAGCUGAUAAGGCGGAGCCGUAGCGAAAGCGAGUCUGAAUAGGGCGUUUAGUAUGUGGUUGUAGACCCGAAACCAGGUGAUCUACCCAUGUCCAGGGUGAAGUUCAGGUAACACUGAAUGGAGGCCCGAACCCACGCACGUUGAAAAGUGCGGGGAUGAGGUGUGGGUAGCGGAGAAAUUCCAAUCGAACCUGGAGAUAGCUGGUUCUCUCCGAAAUAGCUUUAGGGCUAGCCUCAUGUUGUGAGAGUCUUGGAGGUAGAGCACUGAUUGGACUAGGGGCCCCCAACGGGUUACCGAAUUCAGUCAAACUCCGAAUGCCAAAGACUUAUCCAUGGGAGUCAGACUGCGAGUGAUAAGAUCCGUAGUCAAAAGGGAAACAGCCCAGACCACCAGCUAAGGUCCCCAAGUAUACGUUAAGUGGAAAAGGAUGUGGAGUUGCUUAGACAACCAGGAUGUUGGCUUAGAAGCAGCCACCAUUUAAAGAGUGCGUAAUAGCUCACUGGUCGAGUGACUCUGCGCCGAAAAUGUACCGGGGCUAAACGUAUCACCGAAGCUGUGGAUUGACAUCUUUGAUGUCAGUGGUAGGAGAGCGUUCUAAGUGCAGCGAAGUCAGACCGUAAGGACUGGUGGAGCGCUUAGAAGUGAGAAUGCCGGUAUGAGUAGCGAAAGACAAGUGAGAAUCUUGUCCACCGAAUGCCUAAGGUUUCCUGAGGAAGGCUCGUCCGCUCAGGGUUAGUCGGGACCUAAGCCGAGGCUGAAAAGCGUAGGCGAUGGCCAACAGGUUGAUAUUCCUGUACCACCUCCCCGCCGUUUGAGUAAUGGGGGGACGCAGUAGGAUAGGGUAAGCGCGCUGCUGGAUAUGCGCGUUCAAGCAGUUAGGCUGAUGAGUAGGCAAAUCCGCUCAUCAUAAAGGCUGAGCUGUGAUGACGAGGGAAUUAUAGUACCGAAGUUCCUGAUUCCACACUGCCAAGAAAAGCCUCUAGCGAGGCGGGAGGUGCCCGUACCGCAAACCGACACAGGUAGGCGAGGAGAGAAUCCUAAGGUGAUCGAGAGAACUCUCGUUAAGGAACUCGGCAAAAUGACCCCGUAACUUCGGGAGAAGGGGUGCUCUGGUAGGGUGUAUAGCCCGAGAGAGCCGCAGUGAAUAGGCCCAGGCGACUGUUUAGCAAAAACACAGGUCUCUGCGAAGCCGCAAGGCGAAGUAUAGGGGCUGACGCCUGCCCGGUGCUGGAAGGUUAAGAGGAGGGGUUAUCCUUUGGGAGAAGCUCUGAAUCGAAGCCCCAGUAAACGGCGGCCGUAACUAUAACGGUCCUAAGGUAGCGAAAUUCCUUGUCGGGUAAGUUCCGACCCGCACGAAAGGCGUAACGAUCUGGGCACUGUCUCAACGAGAGACUCGGUGAAAUUAUAGUACCUGUGAAGAUGCAGGUUACCCGCGACAGGACGGAAAGACCCCGUGGAGCUUUACUGUAGCCUGAUAUUGAAUUUUGGUACAGCUUGUACAGGAUAGGUAGGAGCCUGAGAAGCCGGAGCGCUAGCUUCGGUGGAGGCGUCGGUGGGAUACUACCCUGGCUGUAUUGAAAUUCUAACCCGCGGCCCUGAUCGGGCCGGGAGACAGUGUCAGGUGGGCAGUUUGACUGGGGCGGUCGCCUCCUAAAAUGUAACGGAGGCGCCCAAAGGUUCCCUCAGAAUGGUUGGAAAUCAUUCGUAGAGUGUAAAGGCACAAGGGAGCUUGACUGCGAGACCUACAAGUCGAGCAGGGACGAAAGUCGGGCUUAGUGAUCCGGUGGUUCCGCAUGGACGGUACGCGAGCUGGGUUCAGAACGUCGUGAGACAGUUCGGUCCCUAUCCGUCGUGGGCGUAGGAAAUUUGAGAGGAGCUGUCCUUAGUACGAGAGGACCGGGAUGGACACACCGCUGGUGUACCAGUUGUCUUGCCAAAGGCAUCGCUGGGUAGCUAUGUGUGGACGGGAUAAGUGCUGAAAGCAUCUAAGCAUGAAGCCCCCCUCAAGAUGAGAUUUCCCAUAGCGCAAGCUAGUAAGAUCCCUGAAAGAUGAUCAGGUUGAUAGGUCAGAGGUGGAAGCGUGGCGACAUGUGUAGCUGACUGAUACUAAUCGAUCGAGGACUUAACCAA
RNAcentral lists this ribosomal RNA (2780 nucleotides) under Priestia megaterium. RNAcentral's name for it is "23S ribosomal RNA". It matches the Rfam family "Bacterial large subunit ribosomal RNA". The record is from RNAcentral. Lineage: Bacteria; Bacillati; Bacillota; Bacilli; Caryophanales; Bacillaceae.